RNAcentral lists this ribosomal RNA (441 nucleotides) under uncultured bacterium. Its description in RNAcentral is "partial 16S ribosomal RNA". It matches the Rfam family "Bacterial small subunit ribosomal RNA", at positions 338 to 795 of the family's 1533-position model. The record is from RNAcentral.
CCUACGGGAGGCAGCAGUGGGGGAUAUUGCACAAUGGGGGGAACCCUGAUGCAGCGACGCCGCGUGGGUGAAGGAGCGUUUCGGCGCGUAAAGCCCUAUCGGCAGGGAAGAAGGAGGACGGUACCUGACUAAGAAGCCCCGGCUAACUACGUGCCAGCAGCCGCGGUAAUCCGUAGGGGGCAAGCGUUGUCCGGAUUUACUGGGUGAAAGGGGGGCGCAGACGGCAGCGCAAGCCGUGAGUGAAAGCCCGGGGUUCAACCCCGGGACUGCUCUGGGAACUGCGCGGCUGGAGUGCAGGAGGGGCAGGUGGAAUUCCUGGUGUAGCGGUGAAAGGCGGAGAGAUCAGGAGGAACACCAGUGGCGAAGGCGGCCUGCUGGACUGCGACUGACGUUGAGGCCCGAAAGCGUGGGGAGCAAACAGGAUUAGAUACCCUAGUAGUC